GACGAACGCUGGCGGCGUGCUUAACACAUGCAAGUCGAACGGAAAGGCCCUGCUUUUGUGGGGUGCUCGAGUGGCGAACGGGUGAGUAACACGUGAGUAACCUGCCCUUGACUUUGGGAUAACUUCAGGAAACUGGGGCUAAUACCGGAUAGGAGCUCCUGCUGCAUGGUGUGGGUUGGAAAGUUUCGGCGGUUGGGGAUGGACUCGCGGCUUAUCAGCUUGUUUGUGGGGUAGUGGCUUACCAAGGCUUUGACGGGUAGCCGGCCUGAGAGGGUUACCGGCCAAAUUGGGACUGAGAUACGGCGCAGACUCCUACGGGAGGCAGCAGUGGGGAAUAUUGCACAAUGGGCGGAAGCCUGAUGCAGCAAAGCCGCGUGCGGGAUGACGGCCUUCGGGUUGUAAACAGCUUUCGACUGUGACGAAGCGUGAGUGACGGUAAUGGGUAAAGAAGCACCGGCUAACUACGUG
Molecule: ribosomal RNA, 468 nt
Filed under: uncultured bacterium
Lineage: Bacteria
Description: partial 16S ribosomal RNA
Rfam family: Bacterial small subunit ribosomal RNA
Source: RNAcentral